UAUUUGUGUGUUAUAGUGCUUCGUAUGCGGCCUCAGGACGCCCGAGAUCCCGCGCAGCGCCGCGUGCGCGGACGCGUUCUCGGGGGACUUCCUGCCGCUCGCGCCCAUCGACGCGCGCGCCAGAGGACAGAUCGCCACCUUCAGGAAAUACUGCCGACAUCUCGAUGUGCACAACUACGUGGAGAAUCCUUCAGAGCCGCGCUCGAUCUACGGGCGCUUCACGGGCGGCUGCGGCGUGCGCUGGACGGACCUGACGGGCGUCUACACGCAGCGCACCUGCCGCGCUCGCUUCCGACCCAUGAUGGGCUUGCAUUUCGCUAGCAAGAGGAUGGCUAAGCUGGAGCUGGCACUUAUAAACGUAGAAAACGGCUGCAUAGUGAGUCCGAUGGCGUCGCUCCUAGCGAUGUCUCGCGGCGUCUCCCUGUACGCGCGCUUCCACGCCUGCGUGUGUUCCGGCAACUGGUGCAACCGCGCCCCUCGCCCCCUCCCGCCGCCCGCGCUCCCCGCGCUCGCCAUGCUGGCCACACGGGCCUGGAUCCUGCGCUAAGACAUGAAUAGACUCCAUGCUACUCGCGAAGUUGGUGAUACGAGGAGUUUCGCUGUAGGUUACUCUUUCGUCAUUGGUCCAAAAUUAAAGAACCUUAAUUCAAAGCAGGCUGAAAAACAGCACCGUUCGAACGUCAAAAUUACAUAAAACCAGCUGCCGAACCUUUUCCCAACUAUGUUGGGGUCGGCUUUCAGUCUAACCAGAUGCAGCUGAGUACCAGUAUUUUACAAGGAGCGACUGCCUGUCUGACCUCCUCGAGCCAGUUACCCGGGCAGACUAAUACCUCUUGGUU
Long non-coding RNA from Helicoverpa armigera (cotton bollworm), 839 nucleotides. RefSeq lists it as uncharacterized. The record is from RefSeq and is a predicted model, not a curated record. The transcript is spliced from 3 exons. Lineage: Eukaryota; Metazoa; Arthropoda; Insecta; Lepidoptera; Noctuidae.